AUUGAACGCUGGCGGCAGGCCUAACACAUGCAAGUCGAGCGGAUGAAGGGAGCUUGCUCCUGGAUUCAGCGGCGGACGGGUGAGUAAUGCCUAGGAAUCUGCCUGGUAGUGGGGGAUAACGUCCGGAAACGGGCGCUAAUACCGCAUACGUCCUGAGGGAGACAUUGGGGGAUCUUCGGACCUCACGCUAUCAGAUGAGCCUAGGUCGGAUUAGCUAGUUGGUGGGGUAAAGGCCUACCAAGGCGACGAUCCGUAACUGGUCUGAGAGGAUGAUCAGUCACACUGGAACUGAGACACGGUCCAGACUCCUACGGGAGGCAGCAGUGGGGAAUAUUGGACAAUGGGCGAAAGCCUGAUCCAGCCAUGCCGCGUGUGUGAAGAAGGUCUUCGGAUUGUAAAGCACUUUAAGUUGGGAGGAAGGGCAGUAAGUUAAUACCUUGCUGUUUUGACGUUACCAACAGAAUAAGCACCGGCUAACUUCGUG
Molecule: ribosomal RNA, 484 nt
Filed under: uncultured bacterium
Lineage: Bacteria
Description: partial 16S ribosomal RNA
Rfam family: Bacterial small subunit ribosomal RNA
Source: RNAcentral